GAUUGCCUUAGUAGCGGCGAGUGAAGCGGCAAAAGCUCAAAUUUGAAAUCUGGCACUUUCAGUGUCCGAGUUGUAAUUUGAAGAAGGUAUCUUUGGGUCUGGCUCUUGUCUAUGUUUCUUGGAACAGAACGUCACAGAGGGUGAGAAUCCCGUGCGAUGAGAUGUCCCAGACCUAUGUAAAGUUCCUUCGAAGAGUCGAGUUGUUUGGGAAUGCAGCUCUAAGUGGGUGGUAAAUUCCAUCUAAAGCUAAAUAUUGGCGAGAGACCGAUAGCGAACAAGUACAGUGAUGGAAAGAUGAAAAGAACUUUGAAAAGAGAGUGAAAAAGUACGUGAAAUUGUUGAAAGGGAAGGGCUUGAGAUCAGACUUGGUAUUUUGUAUGUUACUCUCUCGGGGGUGGCCUCUACAGUUUACCGGGCCAGCAUCAGUUUGGGCGGUAGGACAAUUGCAAAGAAAUGUGGCACUGCCUCGGUAGUGUGUUAUAGUCUUUGUCGAUACUGCCAGCCUAGACUGAGGACUGCGGCUUCGGCCUAGGAUGUUGGCAUAAUGAUCUUAAGUCGCCCG
Molecule: ribosomal RNA, 562 nt
Filed under: Lodderomyces orthopsilosis
Lineage: Eukaryota; Fungi; Ascomycota; Pichiomycetes; Serinales; Debaryomycetaceae
Description: Candida orthopsilosis partial large subunit ribosomal RNA
Rfam family: Eukaryotic large subunit ribosomal RNA
Source: RNAcentral